Molecule: ribosomal RNA, 371 nt
Filed under: uncultured bacterium
Lineage: Bacteria
Description: bacterial SSU rRNA
Rfam family: Bacterial small subunit ribosomal RNA
Source: RNAcentral
AGAGGGGGCAAGCGUUGUUCGGAAUUACUGGGCGUAAAGGGCGCGUAGGCGGCCUGCUAAGUCGAACGUGAGAUCCCCGGGCUCAACCCGGGAACUGCGUCCGAUACUGGCAGGCUUGAAUUCGGGAGAGGGAUGCGGAAUUCCAGGUGUAGCGGUGAAAUGCGUAGAUAUCUAGAGGAACACCGGUGGCGAAGGCGGCAUCCUGGACCGAAAUUGACGCUGAGGCGCGAAAGCCAGGGGAGCAAACGGGAUUAGAUACCCCGGUAGUCCUGGCCCUAAACGAUGAAUGCUUGGUGUGGCGGGUAUCGAUCCCUGCCGUGCCGAAGCUAACGCAUUAAGCAUUCCGCCUGGGGAGUACGGUCGCAAGGCUG